Molecule: long non-coding RNA, 3206 nt
Organism: Hypanus sabinus (Atlantic stingray)
Lineage: Eukaryota; Metazoa; Chordata; Chondrichthyes; Myliobatiformes; Dasyatidae
Exons: 3
Source: RefSeq, a predicted model, not a curated record
CGCCGCUCUGCGGUACGAGAACGCCUGCACGCGUUUUCCAGACAACCCGAGCGCGCCUCACCCCCGCCGUUCCGAGCCGCGGCUGCCCUGCAGGUGUUCCGCAACUCCCCCUCAGGAGAUUGAUGUAAAGUUAAAAGCAUGGUGAUAAAAACAACACACACAAAAUGCUGGUGGAACGCAGCAGGCCAGGCAGCAUCUAUAAGGAAAAGCACUGUGGACGUUUUGGGCCAAGACCCUUCGUCAGAAUCCUCUCUAGCAUGUUCUGACAAAAGAUCUCUGACCUGAAAAAAAUCAGUUUGUCUUUCCAAAGUUGCUAUGUUUCCUGUUGAAUGUUUUCUCUCUGUGUAUGUACCUCAUUAAACACAAGAACUUACAGUCACCAUAGGCAACUAUCUGUCAUCUUCAGAACAAAAAUGACAGACAUUUUGGAUUGGCAACAAUAUCUCCUCCUCAAUCUCCAUCAGCAGAGGUGUACCACGGGACUGCGUGCUUAGCCCCCUGCUCCACUUGCUUUAUGACUGUCUGGAUCGGGAGCAGCAUCUCCAACACCAUCACGCUGAGCACGGGGGCUCCCCAGGGCUGUGUGCUCAGUCCACUGCUAUUCACUCUGCUGACCCACGACUGUGCAGCAAUACACAGCUCGAAUUACAUCAUCAAGUUCGCCAAUGACACGACCGUGGUGGGUCUCAUCAGCAAGAAUGACAAGUCAGCUUACAGAGAGGAGGUGCAGCGGCUAACAGGUGGGUGCAGAACCAACGACCUGUCUCCGAAUGUGAACAAAACAAAAGAGAUGAUUGUUGACUUCAGGAGGACAUGGAGCGACCACUCUCCGCUGAACAUCAAUGGCUCCUCAGUAGAGAUCAAACUUCUUGGUGUUCACUUGGCGGAGGAUCUCACCUGGUCCCUCAACACCAGCUCCAUAGGCAAGAAAGCCCAGCAGUGUCUCUACUUUCUGCAAAGGCUGAGAAAAGUCCAUCUCCCACCCCCAUCCUCACCACAUUCUACAGACGAUGUAUCGAGAGCAUCCUGAGGAGCUGCAUCACUGCCUGGUUCGGGAAUUGCACAGCCUCGGAUCACAAGACCCUGCAACGGAUAGGGAGGUCAGCUGAGAAGAUCAUCGGAGUCUCUCUUUCUGCUAUUACAGACAUUUACACCACAGGCUGCACCCACAAAGCUAACAGUAUUGUGAAGGACCCCAAGCACACCUCACACAAACUCUUCUCCCUCCUGCCAUCUGGCAAUAGGUACCGAAGCACUUGGGCUGUCACGACCAGACUGUGCAACAGUUUCUUCCCCCAAGCCAUCAGACUCCUCAAUACUCAGAGUCCAGACUGACAUCUACAUCAUUUAUUAUUAUAUUGUAAUUUGUCUUCGACUGAGCCUAUUGUCUUGUUUAUUAAUUAUUCUACUGCCCUGCGCUGUUUUGUGCACUUUAUGUAGUCCUUUGCAUGUCUGUAGUUUAGUGCAGUUUUUAUGUUGUUUUACAUAGUCUAGUGUAGCCUUGUGCUGUCUCACGUAGCCUAGUGUAGUUUUGUGUUGUUUCAUGUAUCACCAGGGUCCUGGAGGAACGUUGUUUUGCUUUUACUGUGUACUGUAUCAGCAGUUUAUGGUCAAAAUGACAAUAAACUUGACUUGGCUUGACUUGAAGCACAAUUCCAAUACCAUAUUCAUGUUUGCUGAUAACACCACUGUUGUGUGCUCAAUGAAAGGUGGUGAUGAAUCAUCAUACAGGAGGGAGACUGAAAGUUUGACUGAGUGGUGUCAUAACAAUCUCUUACUCACUGUCAGCAAGACCAAAGAACUGAUUGUCGACUUCAGGAGAGGGAAACCAGAGGUCCGUGAGCCAGUCCUCAUCGGAGGAUCAGAGAUGGAGAGGUUUAGCAACUUUAAAUUCCUGGGUGUCACUAUUUCAGAGGACGUGGCCUGGACCCAACAAGUAAGCACAAUUGUGAAGACUACACAGCAGCUUCUGUACUUCCUUUGGAAUCUGCGGACAUUCAGCACGUCCGUAGGGAAAUGAAUCUCAGGGGUGUAUAUGGUGACAUACCUAUACUUGGUUAAUAAAUUUACUUUGAACUUUAAUCUAGUAGGAGUAACAAUUUUUUCAGUUUAUUUAUUUUCCUGAAUCUGGGUAUCACUGGCAUACCCAUUUAUUACCCAUCCCUUUGAUAUAGCACACAACAGUGGUGUUAUCAGCAAACAUGAAUAUGGUAUUGGAACUGUGUUUAGCCACACCGUCAUAGAUGCAAAGCAAGUAGAUCCUGACCAACAGAGAGCCUCUGUUGGGUGUCAAUCAAAUAGGCUGUUUUGUCAGGAGUGGUAUUUAGGUUCCAAAGAUUUGUUGGCACUGCACUUUUCCCGGCAAGUGAAAAGUAUUCCAUUAGUUCCUGACAUGCCUAAUGGAAUUUAUUUUGACUUUAGUAUAAAUCUGAUACCAAAUGACUUUAUCAGGUAAGGGAGAGGGGAACAAGUCUCUGACCAAAUUAAAAGUUGAGAAGGGGAAAGGUAAGGAGCUCCAUUGGGUAUCCUGGCAUGCCACUGCACCACUACCUUAAUGGAUUGAAAGUCUUGAGAGAUGAGAGCUUCUGGAAGGGAAAUCAUUUGGUUUGGCUGAGAGCCAUCAAUAGCAUCUAGGUGAAGGCUUGAAGGACAGAAAGGAGAUAUUGAAUUUAACAUAGUGCACAACAAGUUGCUCACUGCACCAUAAAAACACAGCUGUCUUGAAAAUAAUCAGCAGUAUAGUUCAAUUGCUCAGGCAAUACUGCAUUGCAUAAGAAUUAAUGCAUUCAAUAUACUUAUGAUACAAAUGCUAAAAUUCUGUCAAAUUCACCUGUGCUGAGAAAGAAGUUCUCCUGUUCUGGACAUGACAUUGAUACAGCAAUAAUGAGCCAGUCAAGCUUAACCUGUCAAAAGGGAGCUUCACUGCUAGAUUUCAAAGACCCAAACGCCUGUCUUUUGAAUCUGUUCGCUUACACGUUUAUGAAAAACAGUCUGCACUUAGUCACAAACAAGAGAAAAUCUGCAGAUGCUGGAAAUCCAAGCAACACACACAAAAUGUUUGAGAAACUCAGCAGGCCAGGCAGCAUUUAUGGAGAAGAGUACAGUCAAUGUUUCUGACCGAAAUCCAUUAAUGCAUCUGCAUUUGCAAAGACAAUCACAAUACUUAAGAACCCCAAUAUACAUAACUAAGAAGCUAGACAAACCUG